AGAGUUUGAUCCUGGCUCAGGACGAACGCUGGCGGCGUGCUUAACACAUGCAAGUCGAACGGUAAGGCCCUUCGGGGUACACGAGUGGCGAACGGGUGAGUAACGCGUGAGUAACCUGCCCUUCACUCUGGGAUAACAGUUGGAAACGGCUGCUAAUACCGGAUAUUCAGCUCCUGUCGCAUGGUGGGGGUUGGAAAGUUUUGGUGGUGGAGGAUGGGCUCGCGUCCUAUCAGCUUGUUGGUGGGGUGAUGGCCUACCAAGGCGUCGACGGGUAGCCGGCCUGAGAGGGCGACCGGCCACAUUGGGACUGAGAUACGGCCCAAACUCCUACGGGAGGCAGCAGUGGGGAAUAUUGCACAAUGGGCGGAAGCCUGAUGCAGCAAUGCCGCGUGCGGGAUGACGGCCUUCGGGUUGUAAACUGCUUUCAGCAGGGACGAAGCGCAAGUGACGGUACCUGCAGAAGAAGCACCGGCUAACUACGUGCCAGCAGCCGCGGUGAUACGUAGGGUGCGAGCGUUGUCCGGAUUUAUUGGGCGUAAAGAGCUUGUAGGCGGUUGGUUGCGUCGAAAGUGCAAACUCAGGGCUUAACUCUGAGCCUGCUUUCGAUACGGGCUGACUGGAGGAAGGUAGGGGGGAAUGGAAUUCCCGGUGGAGCGGUGGAAUGCGCAGAUAUCGGGAGGAACACCAGUGGCGAAGGCGGUUCUCUGGACCUUUCCUGACGCUGAGAAGCGAAAGCGUGGGGAGCAAACAGGCUUAGAUACCCUGGUAGUCCACGCUGUAAACGGUGGGUACUAGGUGUGGGGGACAUUCCACGUUCUCUGUGCCGUAGCUAACGCAUUAAGUACCCCGCCUGGGGAGUACGGCCGCAAGGCUAAAACUCAAAGGAAUUGACGGGGCCCCGCACAAGCGGCGGAGCAUGCGGAUUAAUUCGAUGCAACGCGAAGAACCUUACCUAGACUUGACAUCUCCUGCAUUACCCUUAAUCGGGAAAGUUCCUUCGGGGACAGGAAGACAGGUGGUGCAUGGUUGUCGUCAGCUCGUGUCGUGAGAUGUUGGGUUAAGUCCCGCAACGAGCGCAACCCUUAUUGUUAGUUGCUACCAUUUAGUUGAGCACUCUAGCGAGACUGCCCGGGUUAACCGGGAGGAAGGUGGGGAUGACGUCAAAUCAUCAUGCCCCUUAUGUCUAGGGCUACACACGUGCUACAAUGGCCGGUACAGAGGGCUGCGAUUCCGUAAGGAUGAGCGAAUCCCUUAAAGCCGGUCUCAGUUCGGAUUGAGGUCUGCAACUCGACCUCAUGAAGUUGGAGUCGCUAGUAAUCGCAGAUCAGCAACGCUGCGGUGAAUACGUUCUCGGGCCUUGUACACACCGCCCGUCACGUCAUGAAAGUCGGUAACACCCGAAGCGCACGGCCUAACCCUUUUGGGAGGGAGUGUUCGAAGGUGGGACUGGUGAUUGGGACGAAGUCGUAACAAGGUAGCCGUA
This 1483-nucleotide ribosomal RNA is filed under the name uncultured bacterium. Its description in RNAcentral is "bacterial SSU rRNA". It matches the Rfam family "Bacterial small subunit ribosomal RNA". The record is from RNAcentral.